Molecule: transfer RNA, 75 nt
Filed under: Candidatus Methanoliparum thermophilum
Lineage: Archaea; Methanobacteriati; Methanobacteriota; Candidatus Methanoliparia; Candidatus Methanoliparales; Candidatus Methanoliparaceae
Description: tRNA-Arg
Rfam family: tRNA
About the family: Transfer RNA (tRNA) molecules are approximately 80 nucleotides in length. Their secondary structure includes four short double-helical elements and three loops (D, anti-codon, and T loops).
Source: RNAcentral
GGGCCCGUAGCUUAGUCCGGAUAGGGCGCCGGCCUUCUAAGCCGGAAAUCGGGGGUUCAAAUCCCCUCGGGUCCG